GUAAAAAUUUCCAACAUAUCCUCAUUCCUGCUUCUUCAGUUCUCAGCCUCUUAAUAUCUUUACUGAAAAUGGAGGGUUGCAAGAUGGCUAUGUUCUUCACCAUCUAUAUUAUGAUUCUUCUGGCUUUUACUGAUUUCGGAACAUCAGCUGCGGUUAAAGAUUUAGGGGGUAUCGCACCAGGACCUAUGGAAAGCUCUGGAAUGGCUCUGGGCGUUCCAGCUGCACUUGCAGUCGUAGCUUCAAUGGCUGCUUGGUUCUUUUAAAUAUGGUCAUUUCCUGUUUUUGGUUAUUUAGUGAAUGUUGCUUGGAUUGCUCAAUUCUUUCAUUUUUCAGUCCAUUCUGUUUAGCCCAGAGAAGUUGAGUGAAAUGUUGUCUGGAUAAGAAAUUACAUAAGCUAUCUUUCACUCUUUCUGAAAUCCUGCAACUCUUGGUGAUUCUACUAUUAUCUUCUGAUACUUUAAUGUGGUACUCUAAUUACUAGUUUUUAUUUG
This 491-nucleotide unclassified non-coding RNA is filed under the name Hevea brasiliensis (rubber tree). The record is from RNAcentral. Lineage: Eukaryota; Viridiplantae; Streptophyta; Magnoliopsida; Malpighiales; Euphorbiaceae.